RNAcentral lists this transfer RNA (80 nucleotides) under Anaerolineae bacterium. Its description in RNAcentral is "tRNA-Leu". It matches the Rfam family "tRNA". Rfam says of the family: Transfer RNA (tRNA) molecules are approximately 80 nucleotides in length. Their secondary structure includes four short double-helical elements and three loops (D, anti-codon, and T loops). Further hydrogen bonds mediate the characteristic L-shaped molecular structure. tRNAs have two regions of fundamental functional importance: the anti-codon, which is responsible for specific mRNA codon recognition, and the 3' end, to which the tRNAs corresponding amino acid is attached (by aminoacyl-tRNA synthetases). tRNAs cope with the degeneracy of the genetic code in two manners: having more than one tRNA (with a specific anti-codon) for a particular amino acid; and 'wobble' base-pairing, i.e. permitting non-standard base-pairing at the 3rd anti-codon position. Lineage: Bacteria; Bacillati; Chloroflexota; Anaerolineae. The record is from RNAcentral.
GCCCCGGUGGCGGAACGGCAUACGCGGCAGGUUGAGGGCCUGUGCCUUCGGGCGUGGAGGUUCGAAUCCUCUCCGGGGCA